GAUGAACGCUGGCGGCGUGCUUAACACAUGCAAGUCGAACGAUGAAAGCGGGAGCUUGCUCCUGCUGGAUUAGUGGCGAACGGGUGAGUAACACGUGAGUAACCUGCCCUUGACUCUGGGAUAAGCGUUGGAAACGACGUCUAAAUACCGGAUACGACCUUCGGAGGCAUCUCCUGGGGUGGAAAGAAUUUCGGUCAAGGAUGGACUCGCGGCCUAUCAGCUAGUUGGUGAGGUAAUGGCUCACCAAGGCGACGACGGGUAGCCGGCCUGAGAGGGUGACCGGCCACACUGGGACUGAGACACGGCCCAGACUCCUACGGGAGGCAGCAGUGGGGAAUAUUGCACAAUGGGCGCAAGCCUGAUGCAGCAACGCCGCGUUGAGGGACGAAC
RNAcentral lists this ribosomal RNA (390 nucleotides) under uncultured bacterium. RNAcentral's name for it is "bacterial SSU rRNA". It matches the Rfam family "Bacterial small subunit ribosomal RNA", at positions 28 to 413 of the family's 1533-position model. The record is from RNAcentral.